GGGGGCGGUGCGGCGAGCGCGCGCGCGCGGCGGCGAUCAGCGUGGUGCUGGUGAACCUGCGCUUCUGAAGAUGAGUGUUUGGUGCAGCCUUCUGCGGGGAACACCCGCCCUGCCAGGGUCCUUGUCUCCUGCCUGCUGCCCACGCCGAGAGCUGGAGAAGCAGCAGGCUUGGCUGGCACCUGACCCCCGCUGCUCCCCUCCGCUGAAAUCUGGUGCCUGAGGACACCGAGUUACUUAAUCCAGGCUCCUGACCCCUCUUCUGGGCAGCGGGGCUGCUGCUCUUCAGUGUGGCAUCUCGCUACCCCCACCCCUCCGGAGAAUACACCCGCACAUUUCACCUUGCUGUGUCUGUGCCUGCAUCCCGAUUUUGUGUCAAACGUGACUUUGGGACAAGCGAGAGCUGGGACGAACUUCUGGGAGCACCCACCUGCAUCAGCAGGGCACCGCAGCACAUACCAGGGCUCAGCAAGCAGCGGGCUGAGCGACACGUUCACAACCCUCCUCUGCUUCCAGGGGAGAUUUAGUAUGUAAAGCAGGAAAAAACCCCAUGACUCCCAAACUGCACUUCCCCCUCCAAAAAAACCCCAAUCACCAAACCCACCCAGACACUCUGUUUGCCAGACCAGGCAGUAGAUGCCCCUACCCUGCUGACAUCUUAUCAUAGGGGGUUUUUUGGGUCCACUGAUGCUGGGGGGCAGGGGACAAGUCCAGAGUGAAGCCCCAGCUCUGCAUUUGCCUGUUCCAUUCCCAGUGUUCCAGACCUGCAGCCGCCCCUCUUCCCUGGUUCCUCUUGCCUGUCUGCACCACACAGCAGGGCUGGUGGGCAGCCCCCCACCCUGGGCAGGCACACCCCAGCCCCUCUGCUGCCAUUUCCACGUCUCUGCAAUUGCUGAUAGCUGUAGAGCUUUAUGUGCUCCCCAUCUUUGCAGGGUUUGAUUGUCAUGUGGCUCCUCCCUGCAAAUGGCACGUUUUUAGGUGGUUCUCCUGGAGGGAAAUGCGCUGGUGCCGAGCUGCCACUCCUGUGUAGGAUCAUAUCCUCCUUGGGAUCAGGGCCCUUUUAGUGUCAUGAAAUAUGUCUAAACUGAUGUGUAUUCUUCAGAUCAAAUCCUUAGAUCAAAAUGUGUCCAUUUCCAUGGAUGUUUUAAAUUUUUGUGGAAAUAUAUUUCUAAUGUUUAUAUUUUAUUAAUUUCAUUGCUGCAGCCUUUACUCAUUGGUGUAGUCUCUGACACAGGGGAAGCAGAGGUGUAUGCUGGCUUGCAUCUUUUUUCCCUGAUGGAAUAGGUACCCUUCACAUUAGUACAUUAGCAUCUUUUUCUCCCAGAAAACUCUUGAAGCUUUAACCUUGCAGUUUCCUGCUAUGUAAUCAAAAAGCUGUGUUUUUCCUGCUAGAAAUUUCUCAUAGGAACUUGUCUCUCUGACAUGAUCCACUUACUGUUUUUUCCUUGUCAAGUGCAGGCUUGUUUUUCAAUAAAAAUAAAAGCAGAGAGCUAAUUCUGAAAUCCUUAGUCAGACAAAGCUUGCACUGAAAUCAAGGGGAGUCUUGUCUUGGUGUAAAGAUUGCAGGUUGAGGAUCAAAAUCAUUAUAAUAAAACAUUGUCGCGGGAGCAGCAUCUCCCACUUCAAAAAUAAACAUCUUUGCUCCAGUUAGCUAUUUAUGUAGCUGCAGGAGACUAUUGAUUUAGGAAAGCUUUCUGGUGCACAGAUGCUCUAAACCCUUAGCACUACUAAGAAGCAGCAAAGCUCGGGAGGAGCAGGUUGCAAAAGAAGUAUACUGCAAAA
Molecule: long non-coding RNA, 1779 nt
Organism: Passer domesticus (house sparrow)
Lineage: Eukaryota; Metazoa; Chordata; Aves; Passeriformes; Passeridae
Exons: 2
Source: RefSeq, a predicted model, not a curated record